CAACAGUAGAACAGGUUACCCUCCUCAGAACCAAUGGUAGAACAGGUUACCCUCCUCAGAACCAACAGUAGAACAGGUUACCCUCCUCAGAACCAACGGUAGAACAGGUUACCCUCCUCAGAACCAACGGUAGAACAGGUUACCCUCCUCAGAACCAACAGUAGAACAGGUUACCCUCCUCAGAACCAACGGUAGAACAGGUUACCCUCCUCAGAACCAACGGUAGAACAGGUUACCCUCCUCAGAACCAACGGUAGAACAGAGAGAGAGGUUACCCUCCUCAGAACCAACAGUAGAACAGGUUACCCUCCUCAGAACCAACAGUAGAACAGAGAGAGGUUACCCUCCUCAGAACCAACAGUAGAACAGAGAGAGGUUACCCUCCUCAGAACCAACAGUAGAACAGGUUACCCUCCUCAGAACCAACAGUAAAACAGAGAGAGGUUACCCUCCUCAGAACCAAUGGUAGAACAGGUUACCCUCCUCAGAACCAACAGUAGAACAGAGAGAGGUUACCCUCCUCAGAACCAAUGGUAGAACAGGUUACCCUCCUCAGAACCAACAGUAGAACAGAGAGAGGUUACCCUCCUCAGAACCAACAGUAGAACAGAGAGAGGUUACCCUCCUCAGAACCAACAGUAGAACAGGUUACCCUCCUCAGAACCAACAGUAGAACAGGUUACCCUCCUCAGAACCAACAGUAGAACAGGUUACCCUCCUCAGAACCAAUGGUAGAAUAGGUUACCCUCCUCAGAACCAACGGUAGAACAGGUUACCCUCCUCAGAACCAAUGGUAGAACAGAGAGAGGUUACCCUCCUCAGGACCAACAGUAGAACAGGUUACCCUCCUCAGAACCAACAGUAGAACAGGUUACCCUCCUCAGAACCAACAGUAGAACAGAGAGAGGUUACCCUCCUCAGAACCAACGGUAGAACAGGUUACCCUCCUCAGAACCAACAGUAGAACAGAGAGAGGUUACCCUCCUCAGAACCAACAGUAGAACAGAGAGAGGUUACCCUCCUCAGAACCAACGGUAGAACAGGGAGAGGUUACCCUCCUCAGAACCAACAGUAGAACAGAGAGAGGUUACCCUCCUCAGAACCAACAGUAGAACAGAGAGAGGUUACCCUCCUCAGAACCAACGG
Long non-coding RNA from Coregonus clupeaformis (lake whitefish), 1146 nucleotides. RefSeq lists it as uncharacterized. The transcript has 3 exons. The record is from RefSeq and is a predicted model, not a curated record. NCBI's taxonomy places the organism in Eukaryota, Metazoa, Chordata, Actinopteri, Salmoniformes, Salmonidae.